UACGUAGGGUGCGAGCGUUGUCCGGAAUUACUGGGCGUAAAGAGCUCGUAGGUGGUUUGUCGCGUUGUUCGUGAAAACCGGGGGCUUAACCCUCGGCGUGCGGGCGAUACGGGCAGACUGGAGUACUGCAGGGGAGACUGGAAUUCCUGGUGUAGCGGUGGAAUGCGCAGAUAUCAGGAGGAACACCGGUGGCGAAGGCGGGUCUCUGGGCAGUAACUGACGCUGAGGAGCGAAAGCAUGGGGAGCGAACAGG
Molecule: ribosomal RNA, 253 nt
Filed under: uncultured bacterium
Lineage: Bacteria
Description: partial 16S ribosomal RNA
Rfam family: Bacterial small subunit ribosomal RNA
Source: RNAcentral